RNAcentral lists this ribosomal RNA (429 nucleotides) under Gemmatimonadota bacterium. RNAcentral's name for it is "Gemmatimonadetes bacterium partial 16S ribosomal RNA". It matches the Rfam family "Bacterial small subunit ribosomal RNA", at positions 355 to 776 of the family's 1533-position model. Lineage: Bacteria; Pseudomonadati; Gemmatimonadota. The record is from RNAcentral.
UAGGGAAUCUUCGGCAAUGGACGAAAGUCUGACCGAGCAACGCCGCGUGAGUGAAGAAGGUUUUCGGAUCGUAAAACUCUGUUGUUAGAGAAGAACAAGGACGUUAGUAACUGAACGUCCCCUGACGGUAUCUAACCAGAAAGCCACGGCUAACUACGUGCCAGCAGCCGCGGUAAUACGUAGGUGGCAAGCGUUGUCCGGAUUUAUUGGGCGUAAAGCGAGCGCAGGCGGUUUCUUAAGUCUGAUGUGAAAGCCCCCGGCUCAACCGGGGAGGGUCAUUGGAAACUGGGAGACUUGAAUGCAGAAGAGGAGAGGGGAAUUCCAUGUGCAGCGGUGAAAUGCGUAGAUAUAUGGAGGAACACCAGUGGCGAAGGCGGCUCUCUGGUCUGUAACUGACGCUGAGGCUCGAAAGCGUGGGGAGCAAACAGG